RNAcentral lists this ribosomal RNA (301 nucleotides) under uncultured bacterium. RNAcentral's name for it is "partial 16S ribosomal RNA". It matches the Rfam family "Bacterial small subunit ribosomal RNA", at positions 509 to 807 of the family's 1533-position model. The record is from RNAcentral.
CAGUAGCCGCGGUAAAACGGAGGGGGCUAGCGUUGUUCGGAAUUACUGGGCGUAAAGCGCACGUGGGCGGACCGGAAAGUCAGAGGUGAAAUCCCAGGGCUCAACCUUGGAACUGCCUUUGAAACUCCUGGUCUUGAGGUCGAGAGAGGUGAGUGGAAUUCCGAGUGUAGAGGUGAAAUUCGUAGAUAUUCGGAGGAACACCAGUGGCGAAGGCGGCUCACUGGCUCGAUACUGACGCUGAGGUGCGAAAGCGUGGGGAGCAAACAGGAUUAGAUACCCCCGUAGUCCCUGUCUCUUAUAC